Molecule: long non-coding RNA, 1416 nt
Filed under: Strigops habroptila (Kakapo)
Lineage: Eukaryota; Metazoa; Chordata; Aves; Psittaciformes; Psittacidae
Description: lncRNA (ENSSHBG00005003504.1)
Source: RNAcentral
UUUUUUUUUUUUUUGCUUUAGUUUAAAAAAUAUUUUAUUCAUAAAAUGGCUAAACAUUGGUGCCUAGACAAAAUAUCUUGAGGCUAGAUAAUUGAGUCCAUGAAUACAAAACUCAGAAUGUUUUUGUUCUUCCUUCAAUAUUGACAACUAAAAUAACAACAGAAAGUAAGAUGAUACCCAGACUGUGUGCUAGGAGGUCUCAGCUACUUGCCUUUGGAUGUGUAAGACCUAGAGAAGGUCUCUAACACUUUGCAGGGUCACUUCCUACAUUGCGAUCAUUUAAUGAGCAAAAGGCAUGUUAACUUCCCUUGAAAUUCAGGAAUUUUCAAAGAUUCCUGAAUAUUCCAUCCAGAAUCCAUUCUCCCAAAAUACAGCUGUUUUUCCAAUAAGGUAGCAUCUUUUUAUUUUGAGUUUAAAGAUGGACUUUGAAAAAGUCAGCCUACAUAAACAGGCUCUUUCCUUUGGGUUUUUUUUUUUUUCUUUUUCCUUCUUUAAUCUGCUUGGAUACCUUUUUAUGCUCAUUUUGAGAACAUGAGAAUUGUCACACUAGGUCAGAUGUGCCAUUCCGGUACCUGACUGAUUUGCCAAGAGCAGUUGUUUAAGAAAAACUGCAGAUAAGCAAAGCAGAUAUGCAAUACAACCCUGGAAGGAUGAGGAGUCCAAGAGAGAUGGUUGAUAUUAAAGGACCACCACCUUGUAGAUCCAGAGCAGUCCACCCCAAUAAGAAGGAAUUGAGACAAAAAUGCCAGGAGGCAUCUUUUCUGCUCUUUAGCCUAUGCACUUACACAAUAGUGUUCCUCUGGACAAAGGAGGGCAAAAAUUGCUGUCCACUAAGUGAGCAAUCAACUCCGAAACCAAAGAUGGUCACACAGAAAUGCACUGUUGCUGCCAUGGAAGGCAACUGAGCAUCCACAAGAGAGAACGACAAUUUAGAGUAGCUCUAUUGACUUGAUACAAGUAUUUUUCACCUCCAGCAGUUUCUGCAAGGCCAGCCUUCACACACGUGCUUUUUUCUGAAGUUGAAGGAAUAAUUAUUCCAAGUAACCAUAAAACUUUGAUUCUCCAAAACAUUAUUGAUUUAAAAGAAUUCUGCAGGAGGUGUAGGAAUACAGAAACUCUCUUCAUUCUCACUCAAGUAGGAAGGUAAACCCUAAUUUGGAAACAAUAUAUAUGAUAAACAUACGUCUGACAAAAACCAGAUUUUAUGUUUUAACACUGAACCUCUAACUUUAGUAGCGCAAAGAAAGUAAAGAAUUUACAUUACUGUCUAUGACGUUAAAUAUAUUUAAAUCUCUCUUUGCUACCAGUUGUGAAUUUUCCUAAUGACAUACAGGUCACUACCAAACACUGUCUGAUAAAGGUAGUACUAAGAUAAUUUCUUUUUGGUAUGGAAGAGAUCAUAACAGUCAUCCCAGC